This 332-nucleotide unclassified non-coding RNA is filed under the name Hevea brasiliensis (rubber tree). The record is from RNAcentral. Lineage: Eukaryota; Viridiplantae; Streptophyta; Magnoliopsida; Malpighiales; Euphorbiaceae.
ACUUCUGGGCGAGUAGGAUAACAGAAAUCGAUAUUUUUCAACUCGAUGCUCCCAUAGACAUUAGGUGGUUUCAGUGCUGAGUUAUCAUCUGGAUCAAUUUUGGGCACUCGAUCUAUAAUUUCAAAUACUGAAAUGAGAGAUUUCCGCCGUUUAAGAAUGUAUGGAGCCAAUCCAAAAGGCUCAACUAGUGCAAAUGUUGCAAAUGAGAAAACCAUGUACUCCUUGAUGGCUGUAGGCAGAUCCAUAUAAUGAUUCUUUACAGAAUAAGCAGUGUACCAGAGAAGAAGUGCAUUACAGGCAAAUAGAAGAAACUGUGAAAAGCCAAAUGCAAA